UACGAAGGGGGCUAGCGUUGUUCGGAAUUACUGGGCGUAAAGCGUGCGCAGGCGGCCAUCCAAGUCAGUGGUGAAAGCCCGGAGCUCAACUCCGGAAUUGCCAUUGAAACUGUUUGGCUCGAGUACGAGAGAGGUGAGUGGAAUUCCCAGUGUAGAGGUGAAAUUCGUAGAUAUUCGCAAGAACACCAGUGGCGAAGGCGGCUCACUGGCCCGGUACUGACGCUGAGGUGCGAAAGCGUGGGGAGCAAACAGG
RNAcentral lists this ribosomal RNA (253 nucleotides) under uncultured bacterium. RNAcentral's name for it is "partial 16S ribosomal RNA". It matches the Rfam family "Bacterial small subunit ribosomal RNA", at positions 524 to 776 of the family's 1533-position model. The record is from RNAcentral.